CUUUACAUUCUCUUCUCUCAUUUCAUUUUCCUCUUCUUUUCACGCAAAGCCAUUCCCAUUUUCCCUUUCCCUUAGCUAGCAAUUCCUUGAGAAAAUACUCUCUUGGUCGGCCACCUUGGGGGGGCACUUUAUGAAUGAGCAAACACAAGGAUUGGAGGAAGCCACUACGAUCGAUUUCCAGAGGACUGCCAAAUCAAUUAGAGUUUAUUCUUCAUUGUCUUUGUUUUACUUUUAUUAAUCAUGUUUGCAAUUUGUUCUGUUGUUUUUUCAUCAUCAAUGGUAUCUUAAUUUUGUUUAGCUAGAAUAAUUACAUCUAUUUGAUGAAGUUCUUUUGAUUCAUGUUCAUGGUGUUUUGUGCCUCAAUCGUUCAUGCUUUCA
RNAcentral lists this long non-coding RNA (378 nucleotides) under Gossypium raimondii (Peruvian cotton). Its description in RNAcentral is "long non-coding RNA (GRAI_LNC009871)". The record is from RNAcentral. Lineage: Eukaryota; Viridiplantae; Streptophyta; Magnoliopsida; Malvales; Malvaceae.